Long non-coding RNA from Peromyscus leucopus (white-footed mouse), 891 nucleotides. RefSeq lists it as uncharacterized. Lineage: Eukaryota; Metazoa; Chordata; Mammalia; Rodentia; Cricetidae. The transcript has 2 exons. The record is from RefSeq and is a predicted model, not a curated record.
CUUUCUACACCCGGUUUCAGCCAUGCGACUGGGUUCUAACCAUUGGAAAAAGGACAGAAGGGAUUCCCUCGAGGUCUAGUCUAGAAAGCAUACCUUUCUCCACACAUUUUUUCCCUCCUCAUCCACCACUGUGUGUGGAAGAGGACAGGGAUGUAGAAGAUGAUGGGACCACAAAACUGCAAAGCCGGAGUCCCUAACUGAGGAGGGAGAACAAAUCCAUCUCAUCAACCAACAUUGGACCAUGAUGGGAACAAAAGUCCGUUUUCUUGUGCCAGGAGAUUGAGAUUUUCGAGUUACCACAGAAGAUAGCUGACCCUGAUCUAUGCCAUUGUCUUUUUAUUUCCUAGAAGAAGAAACGGCCUCAGUGAAGUGUUCACAUCACAGUGAGGAUGGAACUGAGUCCAGGGUUUGAGGUCUGCAGAGAACUGGGCUCAGGAUGCUAAAUCCUCUCAAGCAGUUUCUGGGUUUGAAUCUGUAAUUUAUGGCCUGCGUGGGGGUUUCAGGUUUCCUGUGUCCUCUGAUACUCAGCCUCUAGACCUGUUCUUGUGGCUGUUUAACAAAUUGAUCCCAUAUGGAAAAGAAUCCUGGCCUGAAGAUGGUGAGGUUUGCCUACGCGGUACAGCGCUGCAUUUUCUCUUGGAAUACCGUCACUCCACUAACUCUGCAAAGGACACCUGAGACCCGUCUUGCCUUUCCCACCAUGUGAAACCCGUCAGUGUGGAUAGCUUCUCCAGAACUCACUCUGCAAUCAAACAGCACAGUGAGAACGAAACAGGAAAAGCAAGCCAAUCACUGGACUAGAACAAAGAGUUCAGAAACGAAACCACAGACAAACUAAGAGAAAAUUUAGCAUACUGUUAUUAAGUUUCAGAGGGUACAUAGGCAUUCUUU